Molecule: ribosomal RNA, 497 nt
Filed under: uncultured bacterium
Lineage: Bacteria
Description: partial 16S ribosomal RNA
Rfam family: Bacterial small subunit ribosomal RNA
Source: RNAcentral
GAUGAACGCUGGCGGCGUGCUUAAUACAUGCAAGUCGUGCGAACGGCUGCGAAGGCGGCUUCUCUGCUAUUCGCGCGGGUGGGUAGCGUGACAGGUGGAUACCCUACCUACAAGACUAGGAUACCUACGGGAAACCUUACCUCAGAUCGUAUCAUAUUUGCACCCGCAUGGUUGAUAAAAGGAAGACGUUCAUGAGGUCCUUUAUACAUGUUUCCGCGGUGGUUUAGUUAGUGGGCAGGGAAACGGCUAACCAAGGCCAGGAUGCAAGGCCGACCUGAGAGGGUGAGCGGCCACACUGGAACUGAGACACGGCCCCGAGUCCUACGGGAGGCAGCAGUAGGGAAUCUUCCGCGAUGGGGGAAAGCCUAACGGAGCAACGCCGCGUGAGUGAUGAAGGUCUUCUGAGCGUAAAACUCUGUUAUUCGGGAAGAAAAUAUGUGUAAGUAACUGUGCACAACUUGACGGUACCUAAUCAGAAAGCCACGGCUAACUACGUG